This 414-nucleotide ribosomal RNA is filed under the name Aeromonas salmonicida subsp. salmonicida. Its description in RNAcentral is "bacterial LSU rRNA". It matches the Rfam family "Bacterial large subunit ribosomal RNA", at positions 2545 to 2925 of the family's 2925-position model. Lineage: Bacteria; Pseudomonadati; Pseudomonadota; Gammaproteobacteria; Aeromonadales; Aeromonadaceae. The record is from RNAcentral.
UCCUGGGGGCUGAAGUCGUCCCGAAGGGUAUGGCUGUUUCGACCAUUUUAAAAGUGGUACGCGAGCUGGGGUUCAGAACGUCGUGAGACAGUUCGGUCCCUAUCUGCCGUGGGCGUUGGAUGAUUGAAGGGAGUUGCUCCUAGUACGAGAGGACCGGAGUGAACGAACCUCUGGUGUUCGGGUUGUCACGCCAGUGGCACUGCCCGGUAGCUAAGUUCGGAAUCGAUAACCGCUGAAAGCAUCUAAGCGGGAAGCGAGCCCUGAGAUGAGUCAUCCCUGACCCCUUGAGGGUCCUAAAGGGCCGUUGGAGACCACAACGUUGAUAGGUGGGGUGUGUAAGCGCAGUGAUGUGUUGAGCUAACCCAUACUAAUUACCCGUGAGGCUUAACCAUACAACACCCAAGAAGUGUUCUG